RNAcentral lists this non-coding RNA (117 nucleotides) under Chlorocebus sabaeus (green monkey). The record is from Rfam by way of RNAcentral. Lineage: Eukaryota; Metazoa; Chordata; Mammalia; Primates; Cercopithecidae.
GCUGGGUGUGGUGGCUCACACCUGUAAUCCCAGCUCUUUGGGAGGCCGAGGCAGGCGGAUCACUUGAGGUCAGGACUUUGAGACCAGCCUGGCCAACAUGGUGAAACCCUGUCUCUA